Molecule: ribosomal RNA, 465 nt
Filed under: uncultured Streptococcus sp.
Lineage: Bacteria; Bacillati; Bacillota; Bacilli; Lactobacillales; Streptococcaceae
Description: bacterial SSU rRNA
Rfam family: Bacterial small subunit ribosomal RNA
Source: RNAcentral
CCUACGGGUGGCAGCAGUAGGGAAUCUUCGGCAAUGGGGGGAACCCUGACCGAGCAACGCCGCGUGAGUGAAGAAGGUUUUCGGAUCGUACAGCUCUGUUGUAAGAGAAGAACGGGUGUGAGCGUGGAAAGUUCACACUGUGACGGUAUCUUACCAGAAAGGGACGGCUAACUACGUGCCAGCAGCCGCGGUAAUACGUAGGUCCCGAGCGUUGUCCGGAUUUAUUGGGCGUAAAGCGAGCGCAGGCGGUUCGAUAGGUCUGAAGUUAAAGGCUGUGGCUUAACCAUAGUAUGCUUUGGAAACUGUUUAACUGGAGUGCAGAAGGGGAGAGUGGAAUUCCAUGUGUCGCGGUGACAUGCGUAGAUAUAUGGAGGAACACCGGUGGCGAAAGCGGCUCUCUGGUCUGUAACUGACGCUGAGGCUCGAAAGCGUGGGGAGCAUACAGGAUUAGAUACCCUAGUAGUC